RNAcentral lists this ribosomal RNA (537 nucleotides) under Ampharete octocirrata. RNAcentral's name for it is "partial 16S ribosomal RNA". It matches the Rfam family "Bacterial large subunit ribosomal RNA", at positions 1808 to 2609 of the family's 2925-position model. The record is from RNAcentral. Lineage: Eukaryota; Metazoa; Annelida; Polychaeta; Terebellida; Ampharetidae.
CAAAAACAUUGUUUCAUGAAUUAUAAUAUGAAAUUUACUCUGCCCAGUGAUUAAAGAAUUAAACGGCCGCGGUAUCCUGACUGUGCUAAGGUAGCGUGAUAAUUCGUCCUUUAAUUGUGGGCUUGUACGAAUGAGUUAACGAAAAUUAAGCUGUCUCUAUAUAUUAUUUAGAAAUUGAUUUUUAAGUGAAAAAACUUAAAUAUUAAUAAAGGACAAAAAGACCCCAUAGAGCUUAACUAUAAUUAAAUUGUAUAUAAAAAUUAAUUAUAUUUAAUAAUUUAUUUAAAUUAGUUUAACUGGGGCGGUUAAGGAAAUAUUUUACUUCCUUAUAAUAUUAUAAUUUAAAUUUAAUUUUCAUUAUUAGAUCCUUUAAAAGAUUAAAAGAAAAGCUACCUUGGGGGUAACAGACUAAUUUUCUUUGAGAGCUCGUAUUGACAAGAAAGUUUGGCACAUCGAUGUUGGCUUAGAAUAUCCAUAAGAUAGUAGCAGUCUUAAAUGGUGGGUUUGUUCAACCUUUAAAAUUCUACGUGAUCUGAU